Molecule: unclassified non-coding RNA, 237 nt
Filed under: Hevea brasiliensis (rubber tree)
Lineage: Eukaryota; Viridiplantae; Streptophyta; Magnoliopsida; Malpighiales; Euphorbiaceae
Source: RNAcentral
AGUGUAUUCUUUGCUUUCCAUUAGAAGAGCUGCAAGUCUUGCCUCAACACGCUGUCGGAGGAAGGUGCGCUUCUCUGCACGGGUCCAUUCCACCAUCUCCUUGCAAAGGGUAAUCUGUAAAUCGGAAGUCCCUGGUAUCUUGGCAACAGUGUCGAUGAUUCCUCUUACGAUCUUCGCGGUUUUUGCCUUAGGGAUCAUAGUGAAGAAAGGUCUUAACUGUGUUAGGAGGCUUCGUAG